RNAcentral lists this ribosomal RNA (482 nucleotides) under Dendrobaena octaedra. Its description in RNAcentral is "partial 16S ribosomal RNA". It matches the Rfam family "Bacterial large subunit ribosomal RNA", at positions 1817 to 2597 of the family's 2925-position model. The record is from RNAcentral. Lineage: Eukaryota; Metazoa; Annelida; Clitellata; Crassiclitellata; Lumbricidae.
UGCUUUUUGAUAUUUCAUAAAAAGUAAUUCCUGCCCAGUGAACCUAUUCAACGGCCGCGGUAUCCUAACUGUGCAAAGGUAGCAUAAUCACUUGCCCAUUAAUUGUGGGCUAGAAUGAACGGAUCAACGAAAUAAAACCUGUCUCUGUAAACUUUUUAUAAAUUAAAAUCUAACUGAAGAUUGUUAGAUACUGCUGAAGGACAAGAAGACCCUAUAGAGCUUAAUUUUAAAUUGUACUAAAGUCAAUCUAAAAAUUCGGUUGGGGCGACCAGGGAAAUUAAUAAUCAUCCCCUAAUCAAAGAUUUAUUAAUCUAUAAAUAAGACCCUACUAUGAUCUAAAGAACAAGCUACCUUAGGGAUAACAGGCUAAUCCUACUAAAGAGUCCUUAUCUAUAGUGGGGGUUGGCACCUCGAUGUUGGCUUAGGGAAUCUAUAUAAUGCAAAAGUUAUAUGAAGAUGGUUUGUUCAACCAAUAAUACCCU